This 109-nucleotide ribosomal RNA is filed under the name uncultured bacterium. RNAcentral's name for it is "partial 16S ribosomal RNA". It matches the Rfam family "Bacterial small subunit ribosomal RNA", at positions 1373 to 1482 of the family's 1533-position model. The record is from RNAcentral.
CCCGGGUCUUGUACACACCGCCCGUCACACCUGGGAGCGGGUUCUGCCAGAAGUAGUUAGCCUAACCGCAAGGAGGGCGAUUACCACGGCAGGGUUCGUGACUGGGGUG